This 450-nucleotide ribosomal RNA is filed under the name uncultured bacterium. RNAcentral describes it as "bacterial SSU rRNA". It matches the Rfam family "Bacterial small subunit ribosomal RNA", at positions 354 to 796 of the family's 1533-position model. The record is from RNAcentral.
GUAGGGAAUCUUCCACAAUGGACGAAAGUCUGAUGGAGCAACGCCGCGUGAGUGAUGAAGGUUUUCGGAUCGUAAAACUCUGUUGUAAGGGAAGAACACGUACGAGAGGGAAUGCUCGUACCUUGACGGUACCUUACGAGAAAGCCACGGCUAACUACGUGCCAGCAGCCGCGGUAAUACGUAGGUGGCAAGCGUUGUCCGGAAUUAUUGGGCGUAAAGCGCGCGCAGGCGGCCUUUUAAGUCUGAUGUGAAAGCCCCCGGCUCAACCGGGGAGGGCCAUUGGAAACUGGAAGGCUUGAGUACAGAAGAGAAGAGUGGAAUUCCACGUGUAGCGGUGAAAUGCGUAGAGAUGUGGAGGAACACCAGUGGCGAAGGCGACUCUUUGGUCUGUAACUGACGCUGAGGCGCGAAAGCGUGGGGAGCAAACAGGAUUAGAUACCCUUGUAGUCC